GAUGAACGCUGACAGAAUGCUUAACACAUGCAAGUCAACUUGAAUUUGGGUUUUUAACUUAGGUUUGGGUGGCGGACGGGUGAGUAACGCGUAAAGAACUUGCCUCACAGCUAGGGACAACAUUUGGAAACGAAUGCUAAUACCUAAUAUUAUGAUAAUAGGGCAUCCUAUAAUUAUGAAAGCUAUAAGCGCUGUGAGAGAGCUUUGCGUCCCAUUAGCUAGUUGGAGAGGUAACGGCUCACCAAGGCGAUGAUGGGUAGCCGGCCUGAGAGGGUGAUCGGCCACAAGGGGACUGAGACACGGCCCUUACUCCUACGGGAGGCAGCAGUGGGGAAUAUUGGACAAUGGACCGAGAGUCUGAUCCAGCAAUUCUGUGUGCACGAUGAAGUUUUUCGGAAUGUAAAGUGCUUUCAGUUGGGAAGAAACAAAUGGCGGUACCAACAGAAGAAGUGACGGCUAAAUACGUG
Molecule: ribosomal RNA, 467 nt
Filed under: uncultured bacterium
Lineage: Bacteria
Description: partial 16S ribosomal RNA
Rfam family: Bacterial small subunit ribosomal RNA
Source: RNAcentral